AGCUCUCCUGCAGCCUGGCAGAAGGACUGCUCCACUCAGGACUGCUUCUGCAGUAUGAUUUCUCAUGGAGCAGCUGCUCUGCACUCCAACAUGGCACAGAUGCACACUCACACUGGGAUUGUGUGCCACAGCUCCCAGAGGGAAGCUCAAGACUGGAGACAGCAUCCAAAACGGGAUGGAGUGCAUGAAUAGCAGAGGUGAUGUGCAGACUGUGCAGGGUCCACUUCCUUCUGCCAGAAGGCAAUGCUGGUGGUUUGCUCUGCAGGUCUUUUAUGGGAUGGUCAGGGAUAGGACAUUUACUUGGAAGACAGGGGAGAGCAGAGGAGCCUCCUGCAGCUCYAYGUGAGGGGCUCUGGAAACCAGCAGAAGGGGAAUGAGUUCAACCUGCCUCUGGUGUUAUAUGGGUAAGAURCAGAAAGCCUGUGAAGCUGUCAAGCCCACCUGAGCCAUGGGACACCCUGCRUCCCUUCCACAGGCUGUGCCCUCCCUCCUCGCUCAGCACAGCUUCUCCUGAGCAGAGUGGCCGAUUGUUCCUGCUUCMCAGGRYCAAGGUCCUAGAGGUCAGUUGUGUAUGUCUGGGAACGUUGCCCUUUGCAGUGAUGAGGGGCGGCUCCCAGCCAGGACCUGGGUCCUAGAGAGUUUGAAGAGCUGGAGAGUCUGUAUCUAGAGCCGAGGCUUUGUGCAAGCCCUAAGUGGGUGGGGUGGCAGUUGAACAGGCUAUAAGUAGCAUUAGGGAACUGAGUGAAYUAUGCAAGCUAGAGCAGAGGCAGGAGGAGCAGCAUGGCAGGGCUCYGUGUCCGCUCUGCUCUGGUCACUGGGACCAAUCGAGGAAUCGGCCUGGAAAUUGUCAAGCAGCUCCUGCAGAUGCCAAACCCUCCCRAGYGGRUCUUUGCAGCCUGCCGGGACCCCAAGGGAGAGCGAGCACAGGAGUUACAACAUUUGGCCUCCAAGCACCCCRGCCUGGUCAUCAUCCCGCUYGGUAGGUGCUCCUGGCUGUGCCCCAAGGGUGAGAGUUCCUUGCCCARGCUCCCCUCUUUAACCAGCACUGUSUCCUCCYGCAGUCCUGCCACUCGCCUGGGAUGYUGU
RNAcentral lists this long non-coding RNA (1086 nucleotides) under Apteryx haastii (Great spotted kiwi). RNAcentral's name for it is "lncRNA (ENSAHAG00000007249.1)". The record is from RNAcentral. Lineage: Eukaryota; Metazoa; Chordata; Aves; Apterygiformes; Apterygidae.